CCCCUCUCUCCCUGGCCUGUCUGGUACAGGUACCCCCACCACACUCACCCCUCUCUCCCUGGCCUGUCUGGUACAGGUACCCCCACCACACUCACCCCUCUCUCCCUGGCCUGUCUCCCCUUGUCUGGUACAGGUACCCCCACCACACUCCCCCUCUCUCCCUGGCCUGUCUCCCCUUGUCUGGUACAGGUACCCCCACCACACUCACCCCUCUCUCCCUGGCCUGUCUGGUACAGGUACCCCCACCACACUCACCCCUCUCUCCCUGGCCUGUCUGGUACAGGUACCCCCACCACACUCACCCCUC
This is a long non-coding RNA of Oncorhynchus tshawytscha (Chinook salmon), 307 nucleotides long. NCBI's taxonomy places the organism in Eukaryota, Metazoa, Chordata, Actinopteri, Salmoniformes, Salmonidae. The record is from Ensembl.